This 467-nucleotide ribosomal RNA is filed under the name uncultured Nitrosomonas sp. RNAcentral's name for it is "bacterial SSU rRNA". It matches the Rfam family "Bacterial small subunit ribosomal RNA", at positions 198 to 646 of the family's 1533-position model. Lineage: Bacteria; Pseudomonadati; Pseudomonadota; Betaproteobacteria; Nitrosomonadales; Nitrosomonadaceae. The record is from RNAcentral.
GGAGAAAAGCAGGGGAUCGAAAGACCUUGCGCUUAAGGAGCGGCCGAUGUCUGAUUAGCUAGUUGGUGGGGUAAAGGCCUACCAAGGCGACGAUCAGUAGUUGGUCUGAGAGGACGACCAACCACACUGGGACUGAGACACGGCCCAGACUCCUACGGGAGGCAGCAGUGGGGAAUUUUGGACAAUGGGCGCAAGCCUGAUCCAGCCAUGCCGCGUGAGUGAAGAAGGCCUUCGGGUUGUAAAGCUCUUUCAGUUGAGAAGAAAAGAUUCUGACUAAUAAUCAUAAUUAAUGACGGUAUCAACAGAAGAAGCACCGGCUAACUACGUGCCAGCAGCCGCGGUAAUACGUAGGGUGCGAGCGUUAAUCGGAAUUACUGGGCGUAAAGGGUGCGCAGGCGGUUUUGUAAGUCGGAUGUGAAAUCCCCGGGCUUAACCUGGGAAUGGCGUUUGAAACUACAAAGCUAGAU